GAUGAACGCUGGCGGCGUGCCUAAUACAUGCAAGUCGAGCGAACAGACGAGGAGCUUGCUCCUCUGACGUUAGCGGCGGACGGGUGAGUAACACGUGGAUAACCUACCUAUAAGACUGGGAUAACUUCGGGAAACCGGAGCUAAUACCGGAUAAUAUAUUGAACCGCAUGGUUCAAUAGUGAAAGACGGUUUUGCUGUCACUUAUAUAUGGAUCCGCGCCGCAUUAGCUAGUCGGUAAGGUAACGGCUUACCAAGGCAACGAUGCGUAGCCGACCUGAGAGGGUGAUCGGCCACACUGGAACUGAGACACGGUCCAGACUCCUACGGGAGGAAGCAGUAGGGAAUCUUCCGCAAUGGGCGAAAGCUUGACGGAGCAACGCCGCGUGAGUGAUGAAGGUCUUCGGAUCGUAAAACUCUGUUAUUAGGGAAGAACAAAUGUGUAAGUAACUAUGCAAGUCUUGACGGUACCUAAUCAGAAAGCAACGGCUAACUACGUG
This 497-nucleotide ribosomal RNA is filed under the name uncultured bacterium. RNAcentral's name for it is "partial 16S ribosomal RNA". It matches the Rfam family "Bacterial small subunit ribosomal RNA", at positions 28 to 507 of the family's 1533-position model. The record is from RNAcentral.